This is a long non-coding RNA of Leptinotarsa decemlineata (Colorado potato beetle), 618 nucleotides long. RefSeq lists it as uncharacterized. Lineage: Eukaryota; Metazoa; Arthropoda; Insecta; Coleoptera; Chrysomelidae. The record is from RefSeq and is a predicted model, not a curated record.
AACUUUCCAAUUCAGUUUAACACUAUGGGGUGCUGUUUUGACACUAAUAUAUAAUUGAAUCAACUGAAUAUUUAUUUUCACUUCAACAAUACAUAUCAAUACCUUUAACUAAUUUUGGAAAUAAUUUCAAGAUUAUGGAUAAUUUCAUUUCAAUAUUUUUAUUAUUUGUUGGUUUGAAAAAUUGAAUUGUUUCCUUUAAAGAAAUGAUAUAGUUGAAAUACUUCUAAGGAAUAGAGUGCCGGUCGGCACCAUUUGCAUUUUCGCAAGAACCGUAAACUAAUCACGAAUGGAAUAAGAAUUAACAAUGUGUUUUGUGUUUUUCAAGGAAAUGAAGAGGUUUACAGUUUCUUUUUGAUUAUACGUGGAUUGAAGUUUUUCAGUGUUUUCACAGACAUGAAGGAAUUUCUUAAUAACUUGGGAUUAAAUGACCUAAUUGGCAUUUUUAAAGACAGAAAAUGAUGUAACCUUAGACAUAGCUAAAAGGCUCACUGAUGAAGAAAUGAAAGAAAUGACUCUCCCAAUUGGCAAAAGAAAAAUAUUCAAUCAAGGAAGCAAUUGAUGGAAUAAAUUAAGAAUCAUAUAUAACAGAGGUAUGUCUUUCAAUCAUAACUUUAAUAA